AGCAGCCGCGGUAAUUCCAGCUCCAAUAGCGUAUAUUAAAGUUGUUGCAGUUAAAAGCUCGUAGUUGAAUUUCGGGGUUAGUAGGUUGGUCAUGCCUCUGGUAUGUACUGGUCUCACUGAUUCCUCCUUCCUGAUGAACCUUAAUGCCAUUAAUUUGGUGUUUUGGGGAAUUUGGACUGUUACUUUGAAAAAUUAGAGUGUUUAAAGCAAGCUAACGCUUGAAUACAUUAGCAUGGAAUAAUGAAAUAGGACGUUCGAUCCUAUUUUGUUGGUUUCUAGGAUUGACGUAAUGAUUAAUAGGGAUAGUUGGGGGCAUUAGUAUUCAAUUGUCAGAGGUGAAAUUCUUGGAUUUAUUGAAGACUAACUACUGCGAAAGCAUUUGCCAAGGAUGUUUUCAUUAAUCAAGAACGAAAGUUAGGGAUCGAAGACGAUCAGAUACCGUCGUAGUCUUAACCAUAAACUAUGCCGACUAGGGAUCGGGAUGAUGUUAAUUUUUAAUGACUCAUUCGGCGCCUUACGG
RNAcentral lists this unclassified non-coding RNA (520 nucleotides) under uncultured Glomus. RNAcentral's name for it is "SSU rRNA". It matches the Rfam family "Eukaryotic small subunit ribosomal RNA", at positions 569 to 1093 of the family's 1831-position model. The record is from RNAcentral. Lineage: Eukaryota; Fungi; Glomeromycota; Glomeromycetes; Glomerales; Glomeraceae.